CAGCCGCCACGGGAAUACGAAGGGUGCAAGCGUUACUCGGAAUUACUGGGCGUAAAGCGUGUGUAGGUGGUUGUUUAAGUCUGUCGUGAAAGCCCUGGGCUCAACCUGGGAAUUGCGAUGGAUACUGGGCGACUAGAGUGCGGUAGAGGAUAGUGGAAUUUCCGGUGUAGCAGUGAAAUGCGUAGAGAUCGGAAGGAACAUCUGUGGCGAAGGCGACUAUCUGGGCCAACACUGACACUGAGACACGAAAGCGUGGGGAGCAAACAGGAUUAGAUACCCGAGUAGUCCAUGUCUCUUAUAU
This 301-nucleotide ribosomal RNA is filed under the name uncultured bacterium. RNAcentral describes it as "partial 16S ribosomal RNA". It matches the Rfam family "Bacterial small subunit ribosomal RNA", at positions 509 to 809 of the family's 1533-position model. The record is from RNAcentral.